This 486-nucleotide unclassified non-coding RNA is filed under the name Pavonia malacophylla. RNAcentral's name for it is "partial external transcribed spacer". The stretch from base 427 to 486 matches the Rfam family "Eukaryotic small subunit ribosomal RNA", at positions 1 to 60 of the family's 1831-position model. Lineage: Eukaryota; Viridiplantae; Streptophyta; Magnoliopsida; Malvales; Malvaceae. The record is from RNAcentral.
AGUUUUUCAGGCUCGUGCUCGCGCAUCGAACUGUCGAGCCGCACUCCUCUUCACAUCCUCCCCUUGUAGCCGUCGUGCACAGGGGGUGUUCGAGGGAUCCUGUGUUGCCUACCGAAAUCGAUGGAAUUUAUGAUGUGCUAUCGUCCCUUGUCCGUCGAGUGGCCUUGUUGCCUGCUCGGUGGACCUCAGUCGUGCCCGGUUUCCCGACCGUGUCGAUCAUGAUGAUUCGACCGUGUCGGUGUAUCGGUGCUCGAUCGUGCUUUUGGAUGCGGAAGAUCAUGUGAGCGUAGGGUCAAGGCCCCGGUCGCUCGGCCCCUUUGCAUUUUUUGUCCCUCGACACGAUCGAUGCUCCAGCCUUGUUACGGCCUCUCGCCUACCAACGUAGCGCGAUGCGGACCGUGCAGGGCGGACGUCGCCAAGGAAUGCUACCUGGUUGAUCCUGCCAGUAGUCAUAUGCUUGUCUCAAAGAUUAAGCCAUGCAUGUGA